CUACAUUUUCCUAAGACUGGUGUUUACUUCCUGACUUUUCCAGCACUGGAAGAUCAGUCCCUGUGGAAGGGUGAGCAGCUGCAGCCCUCAGCAGCAGGCAGCGAGGCUGCAGCAGCCCAGGUGGGACACAGAGAACCCUCAAUUCUCAAUCAGGAUCACAUUUAUCCAAAAUGUCUGUAGCCUUCCUGUGAGAGAAAUCUUUCAAACCUGAGACUUCCUGGCCUGUAAAGAGUCAGUACCAAACCAUGACAGCCUGGCAGCAACUUGUGUUUUUCUGCUUCGCCAUCCUCUGUUUAUCUGGAAGAUGUUCAAAGCCGCUACUUCUCCGUCUGUGGCCUUGCUCCAGGCGUGUGGGAGGAAUCCUUCUGCAGAGGCCGGUGUCUCAGGAGAAUCCCUCACCACAAAGGUAAAUAAGGCAGC
This 420-nucleotide long non-coding RNA is filed under the name Parus major (Great Tit). RNAcentral's name for it is "lncRNA (ENSPMJG00000000961.1)". Lineage: Eukaryota; Metazoa; Chordata; Aves; Passeriformes; Paridae. The record is from RNAcentral.